GAUGAACGCUGGCGGCGUGCCUAAUACAUGCAAGUCGAGCGAACAGACGAGGAGCUUGCUCCUCUGACGUUAGCGGCGGACGGGUGAGUAACACGUGGAUCACCUACCUAUCAGACUGGUAUAACUUCGGGAAACCGGCGCUAAUACCGGAUAAUCUCUUGAUGCAUAUGGUUCAAUAGUGAAAGACGGUUUUGCUGUCACUUAUAGAUGGAUACGGGCCGCAUUAGCUAGUUGGUAAGGUCACGGCUUACCAAGGCAACGAGGCGUAGCCGACCUGAGAGGGGGAUCGGCCACACUGGAACUGAGACACGGUCCAGACUCCUACGGGAGGCAGCAGUAGGGAAUCUUCCGCAAUGGGCGAAAGCCUGACGGAGCAACGCCGCGUGAGUGAUGAAGGUCUUCGGAUCGUAAAACUCUGCUAUUAGGGAAGAACAAAUGUGUAAGUAACUAUGCACGUCUUGACGGUACCUAGUCAGAAAGCCACGGCUAACUACGUG
RNAcentral lists this ribosomal RNA (497 nucleotides) under uncultured bacterium. RNAcentral describes it as "partial 16S ribosomal RNA". It matches the Rfam family "Bacterial small subunit ribosomal RNA", at positions 28 to 507 of the family's 1533-position model. The record is from RNAcentral.